UACGUAGGGGGCAAGCGUUGUCCGGAUUUAUUGGGCGUAAAGAGCGUGUAGGCGGCCAGGUAGGUCCGUUGUGAAAACUGGAGGCUUAACCUCCAGCUGUCGAUGGAAACCAUCUGGCUAGAGUCCGGAAGAGGAGAGUGGAAUUCCUGGUGUAGCGGUGAAAUGCGCAGAUAUCUGGAGGAACACCGGUGGCGAAGGCGGCGUCCUGGACCAACACUGACACUGAUGAGCGAAAGCCAGGGGAGCAAACGGG
RNAcentral lists this ribosomal RNA (253 nucleotides) under uncultured bacterium. Its description in RNAcentral is "partial 16S ribosomal RNA". It matches the Rfam family "Bacterial small subunit ribosomal RNA", at positions 524 to 776 of the family's 1533-position model. The record is from RNAcentral.